AUUGAACGCUGGCGGCAGGCCUAACACAUGCAAGUCGAACGGUAGCACAGAGAGCUUGCUCUCGGGUGACGAGUGGCGGACGGGUGAGUAACGUCUGGGAAACUGCCCGAUGGAGGGGGAUAACUACUGGAAACGGUAGCUAAUACCGCAUAACGUCGCAAGACCAAAGUGGGGGACCUUCGGGCCUCACACCAUCGGAUGUGCCCAGAUGGGAUUAGCUAGUAGGUUGGGUAAUGGCUCACCUAGGCGACGAUCCCUAGCUGGUCUGAGAGGAUGACCAGCCACACUGGAACUGGGACACGGUCCAGACUCCUACGGGAGGCAGAAGUGGGGAAUAUUGCACAAUGGGCGCAAGCCUGAUGCAGCCAUGCCGCGUGUAUGAAGAAGGCCUUCGGGUUGUAAAGUACUUUCAGCGGGGAGGAAGGCGGUGAAGUUAAUAGCUUCACCGAUUGACGUUACCCGCAGAAGAAGCACCGGCUAACUCCGUGCCAGCAGCCGCCGUAA
This 504-nucleotide ribosomal RNA is filed under the name uncultured bacterium. RNAcentral describes it as "partial 16S ribosomal RNA". It matches the Rfam family "Bacterial small subunit ribosomal RNA", at positions 30 to 523 of the family's 1533-position model. The record is from RNAcentral.